GUGGGGAAUAUUGGACAAUGGGCGGAAGCCUGAUCCAGCAACGCCGCGUGAGGGAUGACGGCCUUCGGGUUGUAAACCUCUUUCGCCUGUGACGAAGCGAAAGUGACGGUAACAGGUAAAGAAGCACCGGCCAACUACGUGCCAGCAGCCGCGGUAAUACGUAGGGUGCGAGCGUUGUCCGGAAUUAUUGGGCGUAAAGGGCUCGUAGGCGGUUUGUCGCGUCGGGAGUGAAAACGCCGUGCUUAACACGGUGCUUGCUUUCGAUACGGGCAGACUAGAGGCAUGCAGGGGAGAACGGAAUUCCUGGUGUAGCGGUGAAAUGCGCAGAUAUCAGGAGGAACACCGGUGGCGAAGGCGGUUCUCUGGGCAUGUCCUGACGCUGAGGAGCGAAAGUGUGGGGAGCGAACAGGAUUAGAUACCCGUGUAGUCC
RNAcentral lists this ribosomal RNA (430 nucleotides) under uncultured bacterium. RNAcentral describes it as "bacterial SSU rRNA". It matches the Rfam family "Bacterial small subunit ribosomal RNA", at positions 354 to 796 of the family's 1533-position model. The record is from RNAcentral.